This 72-nucleotide transfer RNA is filed under the name Bos taurus (domestic cattle). It matches the Rfam family "tRNA". Rfam says of the family: Transfer RNA (tRNA) molecules are approximately 80 nucleotides in length. Their secondary structure includes four short double-helical elements and three loops (D, anti-codon, and T loops). Lineage: Eukaryota; Metazoa; Chordata; Mammalia; Artiodactyla; Bovidae. The record is from Rfam by way of RNAcentral. RNAcentral also lists the same sequence under 4 other names.
UUCCUGGUGGCUCAGACGGUAAAGCGUCUGCCUACAAUGCAGGAGACCCGGGUUCAAUCCCUGGGUAGGGAA